UACGGAGGGUGCAAGCGUUAUCCGGAUUCAUUGGGUUUAAAGGGUGCGUAGGCGGACCUGUAAGUCAGUGGUGAAAUCUCUCAGCUUAACUGAGAAACUGCCAUUGAUACUGCUAGUCUAGAGUAUAGAUGACGUUGGCGGAAUAUGACAUGUAGUGGUGAAAUACUUAGAUAUGUCAUAGAACACCGAUUGCGAAGGCAGCUAACGAAACUAUAACUGACGCUGAGGCACGAAAGUGCGGGGAUCAAACAGG
This 253-nucleotide ribosomal RNA is filed under the name uncultured bacterium. RNAcentral's name for it is "partial 16S ribosomal RNA". It matches the Rfam family "Bacterial small subunit ribosomal RNA", at positions 524 to 776 of the family's 1533-position model. The record is from RNAcentral.